This 495-nucleotide ribosomal RNA is filed under the name uncultured bacterium. RNAcentral's name for it is "partial 16S ribosomal RNA". It matches the Rfam family "Bacterial small subunit ribosomal RNA", at positions 29 to 506 of the family's 1533-position model. The record is from RNAcentral.
AUGAACGCUGGCGGCGUGCCUAAUACAUGCAAGUCGAGCGAACAGACGAGGAGCUUGCUCCUUUGACGUUAGCGGCGGACGGGUGAGUAACACGUGGGUAACCUACCUAUAAGACUGGGAUAACUUCGGGAAACCGGAGCUAAUACCGGAUAAUAUUUCGAACCGCAUGGUUCGAUAGUGAAAGAUGGCUUUGCUAUCACUUAUAGAUGGACCUGCGCCGUAUUAGCUAGUUGGUAAGGUAACGGCUUACCAAGGCAACGAUACGUAGCCGACCUGAGAGGGUGAUCGGCCACACUGGAACUGGGACACGGUCCAGACUCCUACGGGAGGCAGCAGUAGGGAAUCUUCCGCAAUGGGCGAAAGCCUGACGGAGCAACGCCGCGUGAGUGAUGAAGGUCUUCGGAUCGUAAAACUCUGUUAUUAGGGAAGAACAAACGUGUAAGUAACUGUGCACGUCUUGACGGUACCUAAUCAGAAAGCGACGGCUAACUACGU